GGUACGGUAGCCUAGCCUGGUAUAGCACUCGGUGACUUUUACCGAGAGCAUAGGGCCCUAGUGGAUAGCUGGGAACUCUAUGUCGAAGGUUCAAAUCCUUCCCGUACCG
Molecule: transfer RNA, 109 nt
Filed under: Methanobrevibacter ruminantium M1
Lineage: Archaea; Methanobacteriati; Methanobacteriota; Methanobacteria; Methanobacteriales; Methanobacteriaceae
Description: tRNA-Und (NNN) (tRNA-Und-NNN-1-1)
Rfam family: tRNA
About the family: Transfer RNA (tRNA) molecules are approximately 80 nucleotides in length. Their secondary structure includes four short double-helical elements and three loops (D, anti-codon, and T loops).
Source: Rfam by way of RNAcentral